This 367-nucleotide ribosomal RNA is filed under the name uncultured bacterium. RNAcentral's name for it is "bacterial SSU rRNA". It matches the Rfam family "Bacterial small subunit ribosomal RNA", at positions 28 to 387 of the family's 1533-position model. The record is from RNAcentral.
GAUGAACGCUAGCGGCAGGCUUAAUACAUGCAAGUCGUGGGGCAGCAUGAGUAGCAAUACUUGAUGGCGACCGGCAAACGGGUGAGGAACACGUACACAACCUUCCUUCAAGCGGGGAAUAGCCCAGAGAAAUUUGGAUUAAUACCCCAUAAUAUAUUUGAUAAGGCAUCUUAUUAAUAUUAAAGCUUCGGCACUUGAUGAUGGGUGUGCGGCUGAUUAGAUAGUUGGCGGGUAACGGGCCCACCAAGUCUACGAUCCCAGUAGCUGAUGUGAGAGCAUGAUCAGCCACACGGGCACUGAGACACGGGCCCGACUCCUACGGAGGCAGCAGUAAGGAAUAAUUGGACAAUAGGACGAAAGUACUGAU